This 1961-nucleotide long non-coding RNA is filed under the name Homo sapiens (human). Its description in RNAcentral is "non-protein coding lnc-C9orf50-1:4". Lineage: Eukaryota; Metazoa; Chordata; Mammalia; Primates; Hominidae. The record is from RNAcentral.
AUUCAUCCUGCCGCCGUAUCGACCCGCGGCCGACCCCGCGCGGCCAGGCGCCCCCGCCCGCUGCCCUCUCCUUUCCCAGCCCGGCCUCCCCCGCGGGGGCUGUCACCGAGCGCCUGGCACGGCCGGGCCAUGCCCCGGGGAAGGAGGGACCAGGGCCGGGGGCGGGAGCCAGCCCUUGUGCUCGCAGCCCUGGGUUCGGAGCCCAGCUGCCCGGGAAGGUUUCCAGAUCUCCCUGAGCCUCAGUUUCCCCAUCUGUAAACUGGGUGGUGGUGGCUUCGUCCCCCGCUUUGAGAGGACAGCAGGAGAGGCGUCCUGAGAAUGCACAUUUGCGAGCGGGUGAAAAUUUCUGUGAAUGUUUAUAAGCACAUGGAACGGGCAUCUUUGUGGCUGCGGGAGUUGCACGGGUCACUCAUGAGGCCGCCCACGUGGCGCUUGUUGCUUCACCUCUCGAGUAACUGACGGUAUGUUCUGGCCCUCAGCUCUCCCGGGCAGUGUCCAUCACACUCAUGGCUUCCUAGACUUCCAUCUCCGGUCUAAUCACCUUCCGAACGCCAGAACCAUCACGUCUGCUGCCCUUGAACACCUCCCCUAGGUGUCCCUGUGGGCCACCCAGGUUCCCUCCACCCCAGUCUUCCCCACCUGCUUCUCCUUCAUGCUUCCCUCUCAGGGAGUUUGAGACCAGGCUGACCAACAUGGAGAAACCCCGACUCUACUAGAAAUACAAAAUCAGCUGGGUGUGGUGGCGCAUGCCUGUAAUCCCAGCUACUCGGGAGGCUGAGGCAGAAUUGCUUGAGCCUGGGAGGCGGAGGUUGCAGUGAGCCGAGAUUGCACCAUUGCACUCCAGCCUGGGCAACAAGAGCAAAACUCCGUCUCAAAAAAAAAAAAAAAAAAAAAGUAAAAGUAAAAGAAAGUCAAUCACCAAUAAUGCUGGAAUAUGUCAACUUUUCUCCCACCUCUUGCCACUGAUCCAGACCCCAUUCCCUCUGCCCGGGUGAUCCCUUAUAGCUACCCAGGGCUGCGGCUUUGCUCCAUUCAAGCCAUUUUCCACGCAGCAGCAGCCAGGGCCGUCUUUCCAGAGUGUAUUAGGUUGGUGCAAAAGUAACUGUGGUUUUUGCAAUUAAAAGUAAUUGUAGGCCAGGCACAGCGGCUCAUGCCUGUAAUCGCAGCACUUUGGGAGGCUAAGACAGUUGGAUCACUUGAGGUCAGGAGUUCGAGACCCACCUGGCCAACAUAGUGAAACCUGGUCUCCACUAAAAAUACAAAAAUUAGCUGGGCAUGGUGGCACACGCCUGUAAUCCCAGCUCCUGGGGGGGUGGGGGGGCAGGGCUGAGGCAGGAGAGUCGCUUGAACCCAGGAGACGACAGCUGCAGUGAGCUGAGAUCACGCCACUGCACUCCAGCCUAGGCGACAGAGUGACUCUGUCUCAAAAAAAAAAAAAAAAAAGGAAUUGCAAAAACCGCAAUUACUUAAUAGAUCUGACCAAGACUCUCCCCAGGUUCAAACCCCGGCUUCAAACCUUUUGCUCCUUAUAGUCUUUUUUUAAAACUCUUAUCUGUGGCUCAUUGUGUCUCAAGACAGCCAAGCAAACCGAACUGCUAGGAAUUUUCCCAAUGGAACAUUCUCUCUGCAAGUCCUUUGCUCUUGCGGUUGCUCCUCCAGGAGCUCCUGCCUCCCUCUUCUCUUCCCUUCCUUGAGGCUCAGCAUGGGAGAGGCCCUGCUGCAGGUGCCCUCUGACCUCUCAGGUAGGGGAGGGGGCCUCUGUCCUCUGCAAACCUGCGCUGAGUGCUCUGGAUGGUUCCGUCCCUUGGAUUGGGCCUCCCCAAGGGCAAGACCCUGCCUGGUUCACCCUGGCCGCUCAUGCAGAGGCCUGCCUAACAUAGCUGCUGAAUGAAUGAAUGAAUGAAUUGAAUUGAAUAAUGGACAAAGCCCAACAGGGAGGGUUAGCAUAAAGGGGAGACAGG